GACGAACGCUGGCGGCGUGCCUAACACAUGCAAGUAGAACGGUGAAGGAGGACUUUGCUUCUGUGUAUGAGUUGCGAACGGGUGAGUAACGCGUAAGUAACCUGCCUGGUAGGGGGGGAUGACUAGUGGAAACGGUAGCUAAUACCUAAUAAUAGUAGAUGUUGCAUGGCAUUUGUUGAAAAGGUGCAAUUGCAUCAAUACUAGAUGGGCCUGCGUUGUAUUAGGGAGGUGGGGGGGUAAAGGCUCACCAAGGCGACUAUACAUAGCCGACCGGAAAGGGGGGUCGGCCCACCUGGGACCGAGACACGGCCCAGACUCCUUCCGGGAGCAGCCGGAGGGAAACUUCGGACAUGGGCGGAAGUCUGACCGAAACACGCCGCGUGAGUGAAGAAGGUUCUCGGGUCGUAAAGCUCUGUUGUGAGGGAAGAAAGAGUAUGAGGGUGGAAAGUUGCCACUGUGACGGUACCUUACCAGAAAGCACCGGCUAACUACGUG
Molecule: ribosomal RNA, 495 nt
Filed under: uncultured bacterium
Lineage: Bacteria
Description: partial 16S ribosomal RNA
Rfam family: Bacterial small subunit ribosomal RNA
Source: RNAcentral